CAGAAAAUAGUUUAGUUUAGAACUCUGGCCUUGGGAGUCAGUCGUGAGAGUUAGAAUCUCUUUUUUCUGG
RNAcentral lists this transfer RNA (70 nucleotides) under Spinibarbus hollandi. Its description in RNAcentral is "tRNA-Pro". It matches the Rfam family "tRNA". From Rfam's summary of the family: Transfer RNA (tRNA) molecules are approximately 80 nucleotides in length. Their secondary structure includes four short double-helical elements and three loops (D, anti-codon, and T loops). The record is from RNAcentral. Lineage: Eukaryota; Metazoa; Chordata; Actinopteri; Cypriniformes; Cyprinidae. RNAcentral also lists the same sequence under 1 other name.